AUUGAACGCUGGCGGCAUGCCUUACACAUGCAAGUCGAACGAGGGUAGCAAUACCUUAGUGGCGAACGGGUGAGUAAUAUACCGGAACGUACCCUAGAGUGGGGGACAACCAGUCGAAAGACUGGCUAAUACCGCAUACGAUCUACGGAUGAAAGUGGGGGACCGCAAGGCCUCACGCUCCUGGAGCGGCCGAUAUCUGAUUAGCUAGUUGGUAGGGUAAAAGCCUACCAAGGCAUCGAUCAGUAGCUGGUCUGAGAGGACGAUCAGCCACACUGGGACUGAGACACGGCCCAGACUCCUACGGGAGGCAGCAGUGGGGAAUUUUGGACAAUGGGGGAAACCCUGAUCCAGCAAUGCCGCGUGAGUGAAGAAGGCCUUCGGGUUGUAAAGCUCUUUUGUCAGGGAAGAAAAGGCUAUGGCUAAUAUCCAUGGCUGAUGACGGUACCUGAAGAAUAAGCACCGGCUAACUACGUGCCGGCCGCCGCCGUAA
This 490-nucleotide ribosomal RNA is filed under the name uncultured bacterium. RNAcentral describes it as "partial 16S ribosomal RNA". It matches the Rfam family "Bacterial small subunit ribosomal RNA", at positions 30 to 523 of the family's 1533-position model. The record is from RNAcentral.